CCUACGGGAGGCAGCAGUGGGGAAUAUUGCGCAAUGGGCGAAAGCCUGACGCAGCCACGCCGCGUGAGUGAUGAAGGCCUUCGGGUUGUAAAGCUCUGUCGGGAGGGACGAAAGGAGUAAUCCUUGACGGUACCUCGCAAGAAAGCACCGGCUAACUCUGUGCCAGCAGCCGCGGUAAUACAGAGGGUGCAAGCGUUGCUCGGAUUUACUGGGCGUAAAGCGUACGCAGACGGUGAGAAAGGUCGAAUGUGAAAGCCCCGGGCUCAACCCGGGAACUGCAUCCGAAACCAUCUCGCUAGAGUAUGAGAGAGGGAAGCAGAAUUCCUGGUGUAGAGGUGAAAUUCGUAGAUAUCAGGAGGAAUACCUGCGGCGAAGGCGGCUUCCUGGCUCAUUACUGACGUUCAGGUACGAAAGCGUGGGUAGCAAACAGGAUUAGAUACCCUGGUAGUCCACGCUGUAAACGAUGUGUGCUGGAUGUCGGGGGUAUUCACCCCCUCGGUAUCGAAGCUAACGCGAUAAGCACACCGCCUGGGGAGUACGGCCGCAAGGUUGAAACUCAAAGGAAUUGACGGGGGCCCGCACAAGCGGUGGAGUAUGUGGUUUAAUUCGACGCAACGCGAAGAACCUUACCCAGCCUUGACAUCCCUGGAACCCGGUGGAAACACUGGGGUGUCCUCGCAAGAGGAAGCCAGGUGACAGGAGCUGCAUGGCUGUCGUCAGCUCGUGUCGUGAGAUGUUCGGUUAAGUCCGGCAACGAGCGCAACCCUUGCUUCCAGUUGCCAUCAUUAAGUUGGGAACUCUGGAGGGACUGCCGGCGCUAAGCCGGAGGAAGGUGGGGACGACGUCAAGUCAUCAUGGCCUUUAUGGCUGGGGCUACACACGUACUACAAUGACGACUACAGAGGGCUGCGAAGCGGCGACGUGAAGCAAAUCCCAAAAAAGUCGCCUCAGUUCGGAUCGAAGUCUGAAACUCGACUCCAUGAAGUUGGAAUCGCUAGUAAUCGCGGAUCAGAACGCCGCGG
Molecule: ribosomal RNA, 1022 nt
Filed under: uncultured Nannocystis sp.
Lineage: Bacteria; Pseudomonadati; Myxococcota; Nannocystales; Nannocystaceae
Description: bacterial SSU rRNA
Rfam family: Bacterial small subunit ribosomal RNA
Source: RNAcentral